UACAGAGGGUGCAAGCGUUGUUCGGAAUUAUUGGGCGUAAAGGGAGUGUAGGCGGUCUUUUAAGUCUUCUGUGAAAUCUACGGGCUUAGCCUGUAACGUGCAGAGGAAACUGGAAGGCUUGAGUGUCGGAGAGGAUAGGGGAAUUCCCGGUGUAGAGGUGAAAUUCGUAGAGAUCGGGAGGAACACCAGUGGCGAAGGCGCCUAUCUGGCUGACAACUGACGCUGAGACUCGAAAGCAUGGGGAGCAAACAGG
This 253-nucleotide ribosomal RNA is filed under the name uncultured bacterium. RNAcentral's name for it is "partial 16S ribosomal RNA". It matches the Rfam family "Bacterial small subunit ribosomal RNA", at positions 524 to 776 of the family's 1533-position model. The record is from RNAcentral.